GCACAACGCGAAGAACCUUACCUACUCUUGACAUCCAGAGAACUUAGCAGAGAUGCUUUGGUGCCUUCGGGAACUCUGAGACAGGUGCUGCAUGGCUGUCGUCAGCUCGUGUUGUGAAAUGUUGGGUUAAGCCCCGUAACGAGCGCAACCCUUGUCCUUAGUUACCAGCACGUUAUGGUGGGCACUCUAAGGAGACUGCCGGUGACAAACCGGAGGAAGGUGGGGAUGACGUCAAGUCAUCAUGGCCCUUACGGCCUGGGCUACACACGUGCUACAAUGGUCGGUACAGAGGGUUGCCAAGCCGCGAGGUGGAGCUAAUCUCACAAAACCGAUCGUAGUCCGGAUCGCAGUCUGCAACUCGACUGCGUGAAGUCGGAAUCGCUAGUAAUCGCGAAUCAGAAUGUCGCGGUGAAUACGUUCCCGGGUCUUGUACACACCG
This 439-nucleotide ribosomal RNA is filed under the name uncultured bacterium. RNAcentral's name for it is "bacterial SSU rRNA". It matches the Rfam family "Bacterial small subunit ribosomal RNA", at positions 954 to 1392 of the family's 1533-position model. The record is from RNAcentral.